Molecule: long non-coding RNA, 1152 nt
Organism: Canis lupus familiaris (dog)
Lineage: Eukaryota; Metazoa; Chordata; Mammalia; Carnivora; Canidae
Exons: 2
Source: RefSeq, a predicted model, not a curated record
CUCCAGUCUGCUAUGGCAGUCUUAAAUAACAUAAUCAUGGGAAUGAAUAUCUAUCAUCUUUUCUGUAGAACCAUAAUGGUCCUGAGAGUAAUCUAAAAUCCCAUUCCUAUGUCCUGUCCAUAUUCAAGGGGAGGGGAUUAUACAGGAUGCGUAAACCAGGGUGUGGGAAGCUUGAGGACCACAGAAUCCUGCCUGCCGCACUUCACUGACUUUCCACAGACAUGGACACAUGGCAGUUGGCUUCCUCCAGAGUAAGCAAUCCAAGAGCAAGCUAGGAGGAAGCUGCAAUGUCGCUUAUGACCUCGUCUUCAAGUCAUGUGCUGUUAUUUUGGCUGCAGCCUCUUCUUUAGAGAGGUUUCUAAAGCAACAAGAAGCUGAAGUUAAUCUCAGAGAGUAUGGUCUUCUCAAGAGUCUACCCAGCUUUUACCUGGUAUUAGCAUUGUCUAUUAAAAAAUAAGUUCAAGUUGUUAAGGAUGUUUAGGUCUCUGCAGGUCAGCCAAAAUUCAAGAGUAGGAAUCCAGGCACUCCUUAGGGUACCACCAUCCCAGGAAUACUAAAAAGCCACAGUGGCACAAAAAUAUCACAGAAAUAUAAUGGACGGAAGAAGAAAGUUGGAUGAAACAUCCUGAAAAUCUUACUGGAGGUGGGAGUAGAAAAGUCAUGAUCGUGUGGUGAUGCCCAGUUUUUAGACAAUUUACUAUUUGACAAAACUGUACCGAACAGUAUAUCUUCAUUAUCAUAAUCCUUAUUAGAAAGAAACUUCUCUUGCUAUAUGCAAAUUCAAACAGAAAGGCAAAUCAAGACAAGUAUCUUGCCCACAUUUACUUGACUAGGAAGUAGCAGAAUUAAGGUUCCUUUCAAGGAAGACCGAUUCAAAACUUAUACUUUUAAACAUGGUGUUAAUAUCAUCUGAUAACUGAACUGCUACUAAGGAGUGUAGUCCAGGAGAAUCCUGAACUUCUGAUUGAGUGGAAUACCUAAGCUGUGCCACAGCCUUCGAUAGAACUAACUUUUGCUGUUCUCUGACAUGACACCUAGCCUCACCCUUAAAGAAAUGGAAAGAAUAAAGAAUAUCUGUUCAGGACAAGAUUUUUUAUGAGUCCGUGUUCUUUCCUGUAAAAAAAAUUACAUAAUAAACAAAUCUCCAAAUCU